Anguilla rostrata (American eel) is the source of this 1901-nucleotide long non-coding RNA. RefSeq lists it as uncharacterized. The record is from RefSeq and is a predicted model, not a curated record. The transcript has 3 exons. NCBI's taxonomy places the organism in Eukaryota, Metazoa, Chordata, Actinopteri, Anguilliformes, Anguillidae.
GGGAUUUGUGUCACAGUUCCGUCGUGAUUGCGCUGCUAAACCAUGACGUCACGCACUGUAUCAGACUGUAUGCAGAACGUUUCGCUGAGCGCGUGGUCUGAGCACAUGGAAAAGAGGUCGAGAUUUAGCAUCAUGCGAAAGUGUUAUUACCACAUUGAAGACAUUUCCAUCCUGAAAUGGAAUAUCAGUGUCCACGUAAGAAGUGGGACAAUCCGAAGAAAGGGGUGAUUGAACUGCAUUGGAAAAUGAGGGCCCAGCAUCUUGUCAAACCCCGGGCUGCACGGGACAACACAAAACAAAAGAACGGAAACGGAGAGGUGUUUUGCGGGGAACGAGGGAUUUUCUGACCUCAGACGAAGCCACGGGAGAGAAAGAAAAAGUCUCAGACCCGCCUUCAGCGAAGCGGGAUGGAAAACUUUAAGAAGAUUUGCUGCCUUGAAAAGAGUCGCCGCGCAUAAUUAACAUGCCAGCUGGUAAAGAGCCCUAGAGAAGAAGGAGAGAAUCUAAGAUGUUGAAGAACUUGUCUGAAUUUGGCUAAACCCCUGACUCUUAAUGAAGCUACGAAUGGUGGGGCUACAUUGCUUGUAGUCUGCUGAGGGAUUGGCCAUUAUUUAGGUGGUUUUGAAAUCCAGUAGCAGCAGGGACUGUAACACACAGCCGACCCUACUCUGUGACCGUAUUCCUCGAAGACACGGAGAGAGACGGAGAGAGGGAAGGCAAAAAGCUAGCAAUGGCUGUGUGUGGCAAAAUGACUAAUGACAAGCGAGCUCUUCAGACGCUGCCUGUGAUCUCCUGCCAGGUUUCCUUUAGGAUCAGAAAGGCACACGGAGAGGGAGUGUCUCGGCCUUUCACUCUUUCACGGUGACUCAUGACACGAGAUGAACCCCCGGCAGCCGACAGAUGUAAAUGGAAGGAAAAGACAUUAAAAUGGAACCGCUUUGCCCUGUCGUCCGGGUUCACGAAGCUGUGAGUCACGCCGCAGAUUGUAAACAGUGGGUUUCUUUUGCACUCUUUUGCACCUCAAGCCAAAAACGCAUUUCCUGGAGCUCUCGAAUGAAGGGCGGCCCUGCGAGGAGGUAACGUGAUGAGGCUAGGAACCUGUGGCUCACAUGCACGAGCGUGCGUACGCUGUGGUUUCGACGAGCUGGAUCUCUGACAGGAAAUGUGGGCCAUUAUGCAAGUAGUUUGUAAGGUAGCUUCGAUAAAAGGUGCCAGUUCCUAUGGUGUUUCUAUAAGUUGCACGGAAAACUAAACACGCUGCUAAGGCGUAUUUAAAUGUUAUACCAGCUAUAUUAUAUGUUACACCUCUGCUAAAAGACAACAGUGAGAUUGUAUUUUAUUGUCACUCUUAUUUGGUGAAUGCACAUAAAAUGCAUAUGUUUAGUUUAGCUCCUUCAGUGGUCCUCCUUCUGCCAUUAUAACUGUUUUACAGGAUGUCAAAAAGGAGCUAACAUUCCACAAUAUCCAAUAAAUGGCUUUUUAAUGGGCUUUGCAAGUAUUGCGGACAAAUAAAGGACAAUUAGCCUGCACUUAGUGAUGAUGACCCAGAGUUAGUGGGGCUGUAGUGACAUGAAAAUAGCUUUGAAAUUUGACAGUUAUGUGAAAUUACAUAUUAAGAAAAUUAUAUAACGUCAGUUUUAAGAAUAUGAAUCCUUCAUUGGUUUGAGUUGUAUACUUACAGAAGCCUUAUUUUUGGAACAGGCUGUUCUUUUUUGUAGCUGGUAUCCUUUAGUGUCAGUUACCAAGACACAAACUAGCUGUGAUCCAGAUUCCAGAGCUCAUUACAAACUCAUAACGUUCAUUGUUUAUUUAUUACAGAAACUAUAGCUUUAAUUGAAAUGUUUGCAUUUGCUGAAAGCCUCAACAGGCAGGAAAUAAAACUGAUCUGCCCUAAAGCUAAA